RNAcentral lists this ribosomal RNA (468 nucleotides) under uncultured bacterium. RNAcentral describes it as "partial 16S ribosomal RNA". It matches the Rfam family "Bacterial small subunit ribosomal RNA", at positions 28 to 507 of the family's 1533-position model. The record is from RNAcentral.
GACGAACGCUGGCGGCGUGCUUAACACAUGCAAGUCGAACGGAAAGGCCCUGCUUUUGUGGGGUGCUCGAGUGGCGAACGGGUGAGUAACACGUGAGUAACCUGCCCUUGACUUUGGUAUAACUUCAGGAAACUGGGGCUACUACCGGAUAGGAGCUCCUGCUGCAUGGUGGGGGUUGGAAAGUUUCGGCGGUUGGGGAUGGACUCGCGGCUUAUCAGCUUGCUGGUGGGGUAGUGGCUUACCAAGGCUUUGACGGGUAGCCGGCCUGAGAGGGUGACCGGCCACAUUGGGACUGAGAUAGGGCCCAGACUCCUACGGGAGGCAGCAGUGGGAAAUAUUGCACAAUGAGCGGGAGCCUGAUGCAGCAACGCCGCGUGCGGGAUGACGGCCUUCGGGUUGUAAACCGCUUUCGCCUGUGACGAAGCGGGAGUGACGGUAAUGGGUAAAGAAGCACCGGCUAACUACGUG